Molecule: transfer RNA, 73 nt
Filed under: Sphingobacterium sp. IITKGP-BTPF85
Lineage: Bacteria; Pseudomonadati; Bacteroidota; Sphingobacteriia; Sphingobacteriales; Sphingobacteriaceae
Description: tRNA-Met
Rfam family: tRNA
About the family: Transfer RNA (tRNA) molecules are approximately 80 nucleotides in length.
Source: RNAcentral
GCUCCUAUAGCUCAGUUGGUUAGAGUAGAAGACUCAUAAUCUUUGGUCACUGGUUCGAGCCCAGUUGGGAGCA